This 60-nucleotide transfer RNA is filed under the name Ixodes hirsti. Its description in RNAcentral is "tRNA-Leu". Lineage: Eukaryota; Metazoa; Arthropoda; Arachnida; Ixodida; Ixodidae. The record is from RNAcentral.
AUUAAAGUGGCAGAAUUAUUGCGAGGAAUUUAAGCUUCCUUUAUGGAUUUCCCUUUAAUA